Molecule: ribosomal RNA, 473 nt
Filed under: Enchytraeus demutatus
Lineage: Eukaryota; Metazoa; Annelida; Clitellata; Enchytraeida; Enchytraeidae
Description: partial 16S ribosomal RNA
Rfam family: Bacterial large subunit ribosomal RNA
Source: RNAcentral
UGCUUAGUGAUUAACUAUACUAAGUAAUCUCCUGCCCAAUGAUAAAUUUAAUGGCCGCGGUAUCCUAACCGUGCAAAGGUAGCAUAAUAACUUGCCUAUUAAUUGUAGGCUAGAAUGAAUGGGGUAACGAAAUAAGAACUGUUUCAUUUGUGUAAGUUUAAAUUAAUUUUUAAGUGAAGAAGCUUAAAUAAAUUAAAAGGACAAGAAGACCCUAUAGAGCUUUAGUAUAAAUUAUAAUAAUUAUAAAUUUACUUCGGUUGGGGCGACCUAGGAAAAAUCAUCCUAUAAAACAAAGAACUAUAAUUCAUAAAAUUGAACCUGUAAAGAUUAAAGAAAUAGCUACCUUAGGGAUAACAGGCUAAUUUUACUUUAGAGCUCUAAUCGAAAGUAAAGAUUGGCACCUCGAUGUUGGCUUAGAAAAUCAUAUUGGCGCAGAAGUCAAUAAAAGAAGGUUUGUUCAACCUAUAAUUUUC